RNAcentral lists this ribosomal RNA (116 nucleotides) under Pteropus alecto (black flying fox). Lineage: Eukaryota; Metazoa; Chordata; Mammalia; Chiroptera; Pteropodidae. The record is from RNAcentral.
GUCUACGGCCAUGCCACCCCGAACAAGCCUGAUGUCUGAUCUCGGAAGCUAAACAGAGUUGGGCCUGGUUAGUACUUGGAUGGGAGAUCCCCUAGGAAGACUAGGUGCUGUAGGCA